RNAcentral lists this ribosomal RNA (404 nucleotides) under Actinomycetes bacterium. RNAcentral's name for it is "Actinobacteria bacterium partial 16S ribosomal RNA". It matches the Rfam family "Bacterial small subunit ribosomal RNA", at positions 355 to 776 of the family's 1533-position model. The record is from RNAcentral. Lineage: Bacteria; Bacillati; Actinomycetota; Actinomycetes.
UGGGGAAUAUUGGACAAUGGGCGCAAGCCUGAUCCAGCCAUGCCGCGUGAGUGAUGAAGGCCCUAGGGUUGUAAAGCUCUUUCACCGGUGAAGAUAAUGACGGUAACCGGAGAAGAAGCCCCGGCUAACUUCGUGCCAGCAGCCGCGGUAAUACGAAGGGGGCUAGCGUUGUUCGGAUUUACUGGGCGUAAAGCGCACGUAGGCGGACUUUUAAGUCAGGGGUGAAAUCCCGGGGAUCAACCCCGGAACUGCCUUUGAUACUGGAAGUCUUGAGGAUGGUAGAGGUGGGUGGAAUUCCGAGUGUAGAGGUGAAAUUCGUAGAUAUUCGGAGGAAAACCAGUGGCGAAGGCGGCUCACUGGACCAUUACUGACGCUGAGGUGCGAAAGCGUGGGGAGCAAACAGG